ACGGGAGGCAGCAGUGGGGGAUAUUGCACAAUGGGGGAAACCCUGAUGCAGCGACGCCGCGUGAGUGAUGAAGUAUUUCGGUAUGUAAAGCUCUAUCAGCAGGGAAGAUAAUGACGGUACCUGACUAAGAAGCACCGGCUAAAUACGUGCCAGCAGCCGCGGUAAUACGUAUGGUGCAAGCGUUAUCCGGAUUUACUGGGUGUAAAGGGAGCGUAGACGGCAAGGCAAGCCAGAUGUGAAAGGCUGGGGCUCAACCCCGGGACUGCAUUUGGAACUGUCUAGCUAGAGUAUCGGAGAGGUAAGUGGAAUUCCUAGUGUAGCGGUGAAAUGCGUAGAUAUCGGGAGGAACACCAGUGGCGAAGGCGGCUUACUGGACCACAACUGACGCUGAGACACGAAAGCGUGGGUAGCAAACAGGAUUAGAUACCCUGGUA
Molecule: ribosomal RNA, 434 nt
Filed under: uncultured Clostridium sp.
Lineage: Bacteria; Bacillati; Bacillota; Clostridia; Eubacteriales; Clostridiaceae
Description: partial 16S ribosomal RNA
Rfam family: Bacterial small subunit ribosomal RNA
Source: RNAcentral